Molecule: ribosomal RNA, 713 nt
Filed under: uncultured Enterococcus sp.
Lineage: Bacteria; Bacillati; Bacillota; Bacilli; Lactobacillales; Enterococcaceae
Description: bacterial SSU rRNA
Rfam family: Bacterial small subunit ribosomal RNA
Source: RNAcentral
CGUAAACGAUGAGUGCUAAGUGUUGGAGGGUUCCGCCAUUCAGUGCUGCAGCUAACGCAUUAAGCACUCCGCUGGGGAGUACGACCGCAAGGUUGAAACUCAAAGGAAUUGACGGGGGCCCGCACAAGCGGUGGAGCAUGUGGUUUAAUUCGAAGCAACGCGAAGAACCUUACCAGGUCUUGACAUCCUUUGACCACUCUAGAGAUAGAGCUUUCCCUUCGGGGACAAAGUGACAGGUGGUGCAUGGUUGUCGUCAGCUCGUGUCGUGAGAUGUUGGGUUAAGUCCCGCAACGAGCGCAACCCUUAUUGUUAGUUGCCAUCAUUCAGUUGGGCACUCUAGCGAGACUGCCGGUGACAAACCGGAGGAAGGUGGGGAUGACGUCAAAUCAUCAUGCCCCUUAUGACCUGGGCUACACACGUGCUACAAUGGGAAGUACAACGAGUCGCUAGGCCGCGAGGUCAUGCAAAUCUCUUAAAGCUUCUCUCAGUUCGGAUUGCAGGCUGCAACUCGCCUGCAUGAAGCCGGAAUCGCUAGUAAUCGCGGAUCAGCACGCCGCGGUGAAUACGUUCCCGGGCCUUGUACACACCGCCCGUCACACCACGAAAGUUUGUAACACCCGAAGUCGGUGAGGUAACCUUUUGGAGCCAGCCGCCUAAGGUGGGAUAGAUGAUUGGGGUGAAGUCGUAACAAGGUAACCAAGGGCGAAUUCCAG